This is a long non-coding RNA of Trichomycterus rosablanca, 1023 nucleotides long. RefSeq lists it as uncharacterized. The transcript is spliced from 3 exons. NCBI's taxonomy places the organism in Eukaryota, Metazoa, Chordata, Actinopteri, Siluriformes, Trichomycteridae. The record is from RefSeq and is a predicted model, not a curated record.
GAACGAGAGAGAUCACCAUAAAUGAAACUAUUCUUGAAAGUAAAUGGUAGUGCAGCUGAGAUGAAUAACCUUAAACUAGUGUGUGAAUAAGAGCAUGUCCUGUAUUAGGAUUUAUUUACAAAUAAAUCUGACACGUUAAUUCUAGUUGAUUGACAGCAAGGCUGAAGACAGCAGUGUGAAAACCUCUGACUUGCGGUGGAGCAAUAAAACCUCUGACAGUAGUUCACUCAGUACUUUAAAGUAUGUAUUUAAUCACAAACUACCUAACAUACAACAUGAAAUGUGAAAAGAACAUACCGCUAUAAACACAUAUUCCAAAUAAACCGACGCUCAACGAAGCGACUGAAAAAAACGUCAUGAUUUUUGCACAUGCGCGUUAAAGGGGAAACAGGGGGAACUGAAUUCUCCGUAACACCGGUCUUAAACUGUUCGAGCAGCCUUGGGGAGCAGAUGUCUUUCCGAACCGAGCUGGCGCCUUCACGCCGCCCAUGAUCGUACCGGUGUGCCGAUGCUCGCAGUCUCCUACUGCUGUUCCUGGCUGGUGCAACUGCCCGUCUCCUCUCCUCCAGCUGGACGGCUCCACGUAAACCCUGGCCGGGUCCUGUGAUUGCCGUGGUGCGUCUUGAGCACUUCUGGUGAACCCUGAGCGUUCCCCGGCGCAUGUGGAGCUCGGGCAGCGGCUGAAGCAGACGAGGCGGACCGCGGGGGUCGGGGUGUGACCGAACAGGUCCCACCGGAGAUGAGUGGUCGUCCUCUCCUGAUGCUGUUUCUGGGUGGUUUGGAUGCCUGUGAUGCGCUUCUCUUCUCCUCUUUGCUUUCUGGAGCUGCUGGAGAUUGGGUGACUUCGUGUGAAGUGCUUGCUGGUUCCGGUGGUUGCUGUUAAACCCUGAGUGCUCCUCAGCGGGUGUGUGCUGAUUCUGUUCUCUGCAUAAUGAAGCUUUAUUACAGCCAAAUUAAAGCACUUCAUCAUCUUUCUUUUUCUUGUGUUUGAGUUCCAGGCAGCAAAAUAAAGAGUAAAAUUUG